AGAGUUUGAUCCUGGCUCAGAUUGAACGCUGGCGGCAGGCUUAACACAUGCAAGUCGAGCGGAAACGACAACAUUGAUUCUUCGGAGGAUUUGUUGGGCGUCGAGCGGCGGACGGGUGAGUAAUGCUUAGGAAUUUGCCCAGUUGAGGGGGAUAACUAUUGGAAACGAUAGCUAAUACCGCAUACGCUGCGGGGAGGAAAGAGGGGGACCUUCGGGCCUCUCGCGAUUGGAUAAGCCUAAGUGAGAUUAGCUAGUUGGUGAGGUAAGAGCUCACCAAGGCGACGAUCUCUAGCUGGUCUGAGAGGAUGAUCAGCCACACUGGAACUGAGACACGGUCCAGACUCCUACGGGAGGCAGCAGUGGGGAAUAUUGCACAAUGGGCGAAAGCCUGAUGCAGCCAUGCCGCGUGUAUGAAGAAGGCCUUCGGGUUGUAAAGUACUUUCAGCAGUGAGGAAGGGCGGUACGUUAAUAGCGUAUUGUCUUGACGUUAGCUGCAGAAGAAGCACCGGCUAACUCCGUGCCAGCAGCCGCGGUAAUACGGAGGGUGCGAGCGUUAAUCGGAAUUACUGGGCGUAAAGCGCAUGCAGGUGGUUUGUUAAGUCAGAUGUGAAAGCCCGAGGCUCAACCUCGGAAGGUCAUUUGAAACUGGCAAACUAGAGUACUGUAGAGGGGGGUAGAAUUUCAGGUGUAGCGGUGAAAUGCGUAGAGAUCUGAAGGAAUACCAGUGGCGAAGGCGGCCCCCUGGACAGAUACUGACACUCAGAUGCGAAAGCGUGGGGAGCAAACAGGAUUAGAUACCCUGGUAGUCCACGCCGUAAACGAUGUCUACUUGGAGGUUGUGGCCUUGAGCCGUGGCUUUCGGAGCUAACGCGUUAAGUAGACCGCCUGGGGAGUACGGUCGCAAGAUUAAAACUCAAAUGAAUUGACGGGGGCCCGCACAAGCGGUGGAGCAUGUGGUUUAAUUCGAUGCAACGCGAAGAACCUUACCUACUCUUGACAUCUACAGGAUCUUGCGGAGACGCGGGAGUGCCUUCGGGAACUCUGAGACAGGUGCUGCAUGGCUGUCGUCAGCUCGUGUUGUGAAAUGUUGGGUUAAGUCCCGCAACGAGCGCAACCCUUAUCCUUGUUUGCCAGCACGUAAUGGUGGGAACUCCAGGGAGACUGCCGGUGAUAAACCGGAGGAAGGUGGGGACGACGUCAAGUCAUCAUGGCCCUUACGAGUAGGGCUACACACGUGCUACAAUGGCGCAUACAGAGGGCAGCAAGCUAGCGAUAGUGAGCGAAUCCCAAAAAGUGCGUCGUAGUCCGGAUUGGAGUCUGCAACUCGACUCCAUGAAGUCGGAAUCGCUAGUAAUCGUGAAUCAGAAUGUCACGGUGAAUACGUUCCCGGGCCUUGUACACACCGCCCGUCAAGGGC
This 1417-nucleotide ribosomal RNA is filed under the name uncultured prokaryote. RNAcentral describes it as "partial 16S ribosomal RNA". It matches the Rfam family "Bacterial small subunit ribosomal RNA". The record is from RNAcentral.